Molecule: long non-coding RNA, 505 nt
Filed under: Homo sapiens (human)
Lineage: Eukaryota; Metazoa; Chordata; Mammalia; Primates; Hominidae
Description: HSALNT0382371
Source: RNAcentral
GAUCGUCGAAUCUGUUGACCUGGCGCCACCGGAAAAAGAAAUUCCCGGGCCCUGGCUUCUUGGCCUGAUGGUGAGGCACCAGAGGUGCUAAAGUGGAGGGCCUCCCAUGGGGUGUUCAGCCUGGGUGUGUAGAAGCACACAGUGUGGUACAGAGGACCCUCUCCAGACAGGUGACCCCUCAUGCUGCUGCUCCCUCUGCUGAAACCCAAACUGCAAACCUCUCCUCUCCCUGCCUUCACCUUGCCCCACGGCUUCCACAGACAGUGCCUCAACCCCGAGGAAUGAAUCCGAAGUUCCAACACCACUGACUUUCCCAGGAACUCAGAGCCAGAGAGGGCCAAGGACCAGCUCGAGGACACACAGCCAGGGCUUCUUCCCUCCGAAACCCCCAAGGACUGGACUUGCAGGGCUGGGACAGAGGUGGGGUGGGGGAAAGCAAUGCCUUGUCAACCCACGUGGGGAGCCCCACUCCCAUCCCCAAGGUGCAUAAAGUUGAGGAACACCC